Molecule: ribosomal RNA, 395 nt
Filed under: uncultured bacterium
Lineage: Bacteria
Description: partial 16S ribosomal RNA
Rfam family: Bacterial small subunit ribosomal RNA
Source: RNAcentral
AUACGUAGGGUGCGAGCGUUAAUCUGAAUUACUGGGCGUAAAGCGUGCGCAGGCGGUUUUGUAAGACAGUGGUGAAAUCCCCGGGCUCAACCUGGGAACUGCCAUUGUGACUGCAAGGCUGGAGUGCGGCAGAGGGGGAUGGAAUUCCGCGUGUAGCAGUGAAAUGCGUAGAUAUGCGGAGGAACACCGAUGGCGAAGGCAAUCCCCUGGGCCUGCACUGACGCUCAUGCACGAAAGCGUGGGGAGCAAACAGGAUUAGAUACCCUGGUAGUCCACGCCCUAAACGAUGUCAACUGGUUGUUGGGGAUUUAUUUUCUCAGUAACGAAGCUAACGCGUGAAGUUGACCGCCUGGGGAGUACGGCCGCAAGGUUAAAACUCAAAGGAAUUGACGGGG